AGGGACAGCAGCAGCCGCGGGAAUACGAAGGGUGCAAGCGUUAAUCGGAAUUACUGGGCGUAAAGCGUGCGUAGGCGGUGAGUUAAGUCUGCUGUGAAAUCCCCGGGCUCAACCUGGGAAUGGCAGUGGAUACUGGCUCGCUAGAGUGUGUCAGAGGAUGGUGGAAUUCCCGGUGUAGCGGUGAAAUGCGUAGAGAUCGGGAGGAACAUCAGUGGCGAAGGCGGCCAUCUGGGACAACACUGACGCUGAGGCACGAAAGCGUGGGGAGCAAACAGGAUUAGAUACCCCCGUAGCCCUGUCUCUUAUACA
Molecule: ribosomal RNA, 309 nt
Filed under: uncultured bacterium
Lineage: Bacteria
Description: partial 16S ribosomal RNA
Rfam family: Bacterial small subunit ribosomal RNA
Source: RNAcentral